GAGCGAACGCUGGCGGCGUACUUAACACAUGCAAGUCGAGCGAGGAUUACGGUGUGAGCAAUCAUAUUGUGGUCCGAGCGGCGCGCGGGUGAGUAACACGUGGGUAACCUGUCCCCGAGACUGGGAUACCCCUCCGAAAGGGGGGCUAAUACUGGAUACGCUCCUUGGGUCGCAAGAUCUGAGGUGGAAAGGUGGCGCACGCUGCCGCUCGAGGAGGGGCUCGCGGCCUAUCAGCUAGUUGGUAGGGUGACGGCCUACCAAGGCGAUGACGGGUAGCUGGUCUGAGAGGACGGCCAGCCACACGGGGACUGAGACACGGCCCCGACUCCUACGGGAGGCAGCAGUGGGGAAUCUUCCGCAAUGGGCGAAAGCCUGACGGAGUGACGCCGCGUGGGGGAUGAAGGCCUUCGGGUCGUAAACCCCUGUCAGGGGGAAAGAUGGGUGUCGGCGCGAUAACCGCCGGCAUCUGACGGUACCUCCAGAGGAAGCCCCGGCCAACUCUGUGCCAGCAGCCGCGGUAAGACAGAGGGGGCAAGCGUUGCUCGGAAUUACUGGGCGUAAAGGGCGCGUAGCGGGGCGGCAAGUCGGUCGUGAAAGCCUCCGGCUCAACCGGGGAAAGGUCGAUCGAUACUGCCGUUCUUGAGGGUAAGAGAGGAGACUGGAAUUCCCGGUGUAGCGGUGAAAUGUGUAGAUAUCGGGAGGAACACCGGUGGCGAAGGCGGGUCUCUGGCUUAUCUCUGACGCUGAGGCGCGAAAGCGUGGGGAGCAAACGGGAUUAGAUACCCCGGUAGUCCACGCGGUAAACGAUGGGCACUAGGUGUGGGGGGGUUCAGUCCCUUCCGUGCCGCAGCUAACGCAUUAAGUGCCCCGCCUGGGGAGUACGGCCGCAAGGUUGAAACUCAAAGGAAUUGACGGGGGCCCGCACAAGCGGUGGAGCAUGUGGUUCAAUUCGAUGCUGAGCGAAGAACCUUACCUGGGCUUGACAUGCAGGCAGUAGGAACCCGAAAGGGGGACGACCCGUUAAGUCGGGAUCCUGCACAGGUGCUGCAUGGCUGUCGUCAGCUCGUGCUGUGAAGUGUCGGGUUAAGUCCCUUAACAACGAGCGCAACCCUCGCCCGCUGUUGCCAACGGGUAAUGCCGGGAACUCUGCGGGGACCGCCAGCGAUGAGCUGGAGGAAGGCGGGGAUGACGUCAAGUCCUCAUGGCCUUUAUGCCCAGGGCGACACACGUGCUACAAUGGCCGGGACAAAGGGUUGCGAACCCGCGAGGGGGAGCUAAUCCCAAAAACCCGGUCUCAGUUCAGAUUGGAGUCUGCAACUCGACUCCAUGAAGGCGGAAUCGCUAGUAAUCGUGGAUCAGCACGCCACGGUGAAUACGUUCCCGGGCCUGUACACACC
Molecule: ribosomal RNA, 1397 nt
Filed under: uncultured bacterium
Lineage: Bacteria
Description: bacterial SSU rRNA
Rfam family: Bacterial small subunit ribosomal RNA
Source: RNAcentral